Molecule: ribosomal RNA, 245 nt
Filed under: uncultured bacterium
Lineage: Bacteria
Description: partial 16S ribosomal RNA
Rfam family: Bacterial small subunit ribosomal RNA
Source: RNAcentral
UAGGGGGCAAGCGUUAUCCGGAUUUACUGGGUGUAAAGGGAGCGUAGACGGCGAAGAAAGUCUGAAGUGAAAGCCCGCGGCUUAACCGCGGAACUGCUUUGGAAACUUUUUUGCUGGAGUACCGGAGAGGUAAGCGGAAUUCCUAGUGUAGCGGUGAAAUGCGUAGAUAUUAGGAGGAACACCAGUGGCGAAGGCGGCUUACUGGACGGUAACUGACGUUGAGGCUCGAAAGCGUGGGGAGCAAA